Molecule: ribosomal RNA, 686 nt
Filed under: uncultured Gammaproteobacteria bacterium
Lineage: Bacteria; Pseudomonadati; Pseudomonadota; Gammaproteobacteria
Description: bacterial SSU rRNA
Rfam family: Bacterial small subunit ribosomal RNA
Source: RNAcentral
AGCACUUCGGUGUGAGAUAGAGUGGCGGACGGGUGAGUAACGCGUGGGAAUCUACCCAGUAGUGGGGGACAACUACCGGAAACGGUAGCUAAUACCGCAUACGCCCUAUGGGGGAAAGGCUUCGGCCGCUAUUGGAUGAGCCCGCGUCAGAUUAGCUAGUUGGUAGGGUAAAGGCCUACCAAGGCAACGAUCUGUAGCUGGUCUGAGAGGACGAACAGCCACACUGGGACUGAGACACGGCCCAGACUCCUACGGGAGGCAGCAGUGGGGAAUAUUGGACAAUGGGCGAAAGCCUGAUCCAGCAAUGCCGCGUGUGUGAAGAAGGCCUGCGGGUUGUAAAGCACUUUCAGUUGGGAAGAUGAUGACGUUACCAACAGAAGAAGCACCGGCUAAAUCCGUGCCGGCAGCCGCGGUAAUACGGAUGGUGCGAGCGUUAAUCGGAAUUACUGGGCGUAAAGCGCGCGUAGGCGGCUAAGUCAGUCAGAAGUGAAAGCCCCGGGCUCGACCUGGGAAUUGCUUUUGAUACUGCUUAGCUAGAGUUUGGUAGAGGAUAGUGGAAUUUCAGGUGUAGCGGUGAAAUGCGUAGAUAUCUGAAGGAACAUCAGUGGCGAAGGCGACUGUCUGGACCAAAACUGACGCUGAGGUGCGAAAGCGUGGGUAGCAAACAGGAUUAGAUACCCUGGUAG